UACGUAGGGGGCAAGCGUUGUCCGGAAUCAUUGGGCGUAAAGAGCGUGUAGGCGGCCAGAUAAGUCCGCUGUGAAAUCUCGAGGCUCAACUUCGAGCUGUCGGUGGAAACUGUCUGGCUAGAGUCCGGAAGAGGAGAAUGGAAUUCCUGGUGUAGCGGUGAAAUGCGCAGAUAUCAGGAGGAACACCCGUGGCGAAGGCGGCUCUCUGGGACGGUACUGACGCUGAGACGCGAAAGCGUGGGGAGCGAACAGG
RNAcentral lists this ribosomal RNA (253 nucleotides) under uncultured bacterium. Its description in RNAcentral is "partial 16S ribosomal RNA". It matches the Rfam family "Bacterial small subunit ribosomal RNA", at positions 524 to 776 of the family's 1533-position model. The record is from RNAcentral.